Molecule: ribosomal RNA, 1587 nt
Filed under: Phocaeicola vulgatus
Lineage: Bacteria; Pseudomonadati; Bacteroidota; Bacteroidia; Bacteroidales; Bacteroidaceae
Description: bacterial SSU rRNA
Rfam family: Bacterial small subunit ribosomal RNA
Source: RNAcentral
UAUUACAAUGAAGAGUUUGAUCCUGGCUCAGGAUGAACGCUAGCUACAGGCUUAACACAUGCAAGUCGAGGGGCAGCAUGGUCUUAGCUUGCUAAGGCCGAUGGCGACCGGCGCACGGGUGAGUAACACGUAUCCAACCUGCCGUCUACUCUUGGACAGCCUUCUGAAAGGAAGAUUAAUACAAGAUGGCAUCAUGAGUCCACAUGUUCACAUGAUUAAAGGUAUUCCGGUAGACGAUGGGGAUGCGUUCCAUUAGAUAGUAGGCGGGGUAACGGCCCACCUAGUCUUCGAUGGAUAGGGGUUCUGAGAGGAAGGUCCCCCACAUUGGAACUGAGACACGGUCCAAACUCCUACGGGAGGCAGCAGUGAGGAAUAUUGGUCAAUGGGCGAGAGCCUGAACCAGCCAAGUAGCGUGAAGGAUGACUGCCCUAUGGGUUGUAAACUUCUUUUAUAAAGGAAUAAAGUCGGGUAUGCAUACCCGUUUGCAUGUACUUUAUGAAUAAGGAUCGGCUAACUCCGUGCCAGCAGCCGCGGUAAUACGGAGGAUCCGAGCGUUAUCCGGAUUUAUUGGGUUUAAAGGGAGCGUAGAUGGAUGUUUAAGUCAGUUGUGAAAGUUUGCGGCUCAACCGUAAAAUUGCAGUUGAUACUGGAUAUCUUGAGUGCAGUUGAGGCAGGCGGAAUUCGUGGUGUAGCGGUGAAAUGCUUAGAUAUCACGAAGAACUCCGAUUGCGAAGGCAGCCUGCUAAGCUGCAACUGACAUUGAGGCUCGAAAGUGUGGGUAUCAAACAGGAUUAGAUACCCUGGUAGUCCACACGGUAAACGAUGAAUACUCGCUGUUUGCGAUAUACAGCAAGCGGCCAAGCGAAAGCGUUAAGUAUUCCACCUGGGGAGUACGCCGGCAACGGUGAAACUCAAAGGAAUUGACGGGGGCCCGCACAAGCGGAGGAACAUGUGGUUUAAUUCGAUGAUACGCGAGGAACCUUACCCGGGCUUAAAUUGCAGAUGAAUUACGGUGAAAGCCGUAAGCCGCAAGGCAUCUGUGAAGGUGCUGCAUGGUUGUCGUCAGCUCGUGCCGUGAGGUGUCGGCUUAAGUGCCAUAACGAGCGCAACCCUUGUUGUCAGUUACUAACAGGUUCCGCUGAGGACUCUGACAAGACUGCCAUCGUAAGAUGUGAGGAAGGUGGGGAUGACGUCAAAUCAGCACGGCCCUUACGUCCGGGGCUACACACGUGUUACAAUGGGGGGNNNNNNNNNNACGGCCCUUACGUCCGGGGCUACACACGUGUUACAAUGGGGGGUACAGAGGGCCGCUACCACGCGAGUGGAUGCCAAUCCCAAAAACCUCUCUCAGUUCGGACUGGAGUCUGCAACCCGACUCCACGAAGCUGGAUUCGCUAGUAAUCGCGCAUCAGCCACGGCGCGGUGAAUACGUUCCCGGGCCUUGUACACACCGCCCGUCAAGCCAUGGGAGCCGGGGGUACCUGAAGUGCGUAACCGCGAGGAGCGCCCUAGGGUAAAACUGGUGACUGGGGCUAAGUCGUAACAAGGUAGCCGUACCGGAAGGUGCGGCUGGAACACCUCCUUUCU